This 228-nucleotide ribosomal RNA is filed under the name Vibrio parahaemolyticus. RNAcentral's name for it is "partial 16S ribosomal RNA". It matches the Rfam family "Bacterial small subunit ribosomal RNA", at positions 1316 to 1533 of the family's 1533-position model. Lineage: Bacteria; Pseudomonadati; Pseudomonadota; Gammaproteobacteria; Vibrionales; Vibrionaceae. The record is from RNAcentral.
CUCCAUGAAGUCGGAAUCGCUAGUAAUCGUGGAUCAGAAUGCCACGGUGAAUACGUUCCCGGGCCUUGUACACACCGCCCGUCACACCAUGGGAGUGGGCUGCAAAAGAAGUAGGUAGUUUAACCUUCGGGGGGGACGCUUACCACUUUGUGGUUCAUGACUGGGGUGAAGUCGUAACAAGGUAGCGCUAGGGGAACCUGGCGCUGGAUCACCUCCUUAAACGAUGAU